UUGUAAUAGAGAUCAAAGGUGGAAAGAAGAAAUCUUCUUCCGGUAGUAGCAAUAAUAAUAUUAACCAUAUUCAAUAUUUCAAUACGAUGGCAGUUUCAAGUUAGGGCAGUUUCAACCAUAUCGAAGCGUUCAUCCCAAUGAUGGCAUCGAAAAAUUUCAUUUCGCUGCUUACUCCAAGUGUUUGCGGACUGAAAUGAGUGCUAUGGAUGGGAAUAUAGGAUUUGUCUUUACAGUUGGGCAGUCCAAAAACUGGGGCAGGUGUAAAUCUGAGGCGGGUAGAAAAGGAUCCGGACCGGGGUGCCACGAAUCCCAGUGAAAUGCUUGCAGCACAUUAAAAAAGGAUCACACAGAAUUUCGUUAGUCGCGGGGUAGUUUUUGACCAAAAAGAUAAUGUUGUAUGCAAUUUUGGACCAAAAGGUGAACAGAUGGUAAAGGUAAACCAUUUACAGAACAAUAGGAAUUUG
RNAcentral lists this long non-coding RNA (464 nucleotides) under Nicotiana benthamiana. RNAcentral's name for it is "long non-coding RNA (NBEN_LNC038484)". The record is from RNAcentral. Lineage: Eukaryota; Viridiplantae; Streptophyta; Magnoliopsida; Solanales; Solanaceae.